Molecule: ribosomal RNA, 300 nt
Filed under: Triticum aestivum (bread wheat)
Lineage: Eukaryota; Viridiplantae; Streptophyta; Magnoliopsida; Poales; Poaceae
Description: partial small subunit ribosomal RNA
Source: RNAcentral
UACAAACCAUUCAGUUCAACCAAUCUGAGCAGAAUUAUUACACUAAUGAAGAUAAGUGUGAUCAUGGUUGUUGGGCUGAUUUUUAUCAACCUAUGCACCUGCAUGCCAAGAAAUGUGGCGAACCAUGAAUCUCACGAUACAGUGGUGCCACAGAAGGAAAUGCGCAGUCUGAUGUCUGGCACUGCUGGAAGGAACCGGCCUCCGAGCAAUGAUCACCAGUGCCCACUUGGAACCUACCCUAAUUGCCAAGGGAUGUCCCAGAAUACUCAAGAAGCAACUCAAGAUGUUGGAGGAAACUAA